This 173-nucleotide small nuclear RNA is filed under the name Carassius auratus (goldfish). RNAcentral describes it as "U2 spliceosomal RNA (ENSCARG00000026019.1)". It matches the Rfam family "U2 spliceosomal RNA". From Rfam's summary of the family: U2 is a small nuclear RNA (snRNA) component of the spliceosome (involved in pre-mRNA splicing). Complementary binding between U2 snRNA (in an area lying towards the 5' end but 3' to hairpin I) and the branchpoint sequence (BPS) of the intron results the bulging out of an unpaired adenosine, on the BPS, which initiates a nucleophilic attack at the intronic 5' splice site, thus starting the first of two transesterification reactions that mediate splicing. Lineage: Eukaryota; Metazoa; Chordata; Actinopteri; Cypriniformes; Cyprinidae. The record is from Rfam by way of RNAcentral.
AAAACUUUUUCGAAAGAAAAAUCUGUUCUUAUCAGUUUAAUAUCUGAUACGUCCCCUCGUCGGGACUACAUAUUAAAUGGAUUUUUAGAUCACGGAGCUGGAGCCGGGGCUUGCUCCGUCCACUCCAUGCAUCGGCCUGGUAUUGCAGUGUCUCCAGGAACGGUGUGCUUUCC